This 253-nucleotide ribosomal RNA is filed under the name uncultured bacterium. RNAcentral describes it as "partial 16S ribosomal RNA". It matches the Rfam family "Bacterial small subunit ribosomal RNA", at positions 524 to 776 of the family's 1533-position model. The record is from RNAcentral.
UACAGAGGUGGCAAGCGUUGUUCGGAAUUACUGGGCGUAAAGGGCGCGUAGGCGGCCUUCUAAGUCAGACGUGAAAUCCCCAGGCUUAACUUGGGAACUGCAUCUGAUACUGGAAGGCUUGAGUGCGGGAGAGGGAUGUGGAAUUCCAGGUGUAGCGGUGAAAUGCGUAGAUAUCUGGAGGAACACCGGUGGCGAAGGCGGCAUCCUGGACCGACACUGACGCUGAGGCGCGAAAGCCAGGGGAGCAAACGGG